UAGGGAGGGUGCAAGCGUUGCUCGGAAUUAUUGGGCGUAAAGGGUAGGUAGGUGGUCUCGUUUGUCUGGGGUGAAAGCCCGGGGCUUAACUCCGGAAGUGCCUCAGAAACGGCGAGACUAGAGUCCUGGAGAGGGUCGUGGAAUUCCCGGUGUAGCGGUGAAAUGCGUAGAGAUCGGGAGGAACACCAGAGGCGAAAGCGGCGACCUGGACAGGUACUGACACUCAACUACGAAAGCGUGGGGAGCAAACAGG
This 253-nucleotide ribosomal RNA is filed under the name uncultured bacterium. RNAcentral's name for it is "partial 16S ribosomal RNA". It matches the Rfam family "Bacterial small subunit ribosomal RNA", at positions 524 to 776 of the family's 1533-position model. The record is from RNAcentral.